GGCUCGUAUGUUGUGUGGAAUUGUGAGCGGAUAACAAUUUCACACAGGAAACAGCUAUGACCAUGAUUACGCCAAGCUCUAAUACGACUCACUAUAGGGAAAGCUUGCAUGCGUGCAGGUCGACUCUAGCNGGAUCUACUAGUCAUAUGGAUUAGAGUUUGAUCCUGGCUCAGGACGAACGCUGGCGUCGCGCCUAAGACAUACAACAUGAAGUCGUAAUCGUUAGUAAUCGCAGGUCAGCAUACUGCGGUGCAUACGUUCCCGGGCNUUGUACACACCGCCCGUCACGCCACAACAAGUCUGAGACACCCGAAGUCAGUUGGCCUAACCCGNAAAGGAGGGAGCUGCCGAAUGUAGGUCAGAUGAUUGUGGCUG
This 375-nucleotide ribosomal RNA is filed under the name uncultured bacterium. RNAcentral describes it as "bacterial SSU rRNA". It matches the Rfam family "Bacterial small subunit ribosomal RNA", at positions 1097 to 1483 of the family's 1533-position model. The record is from RNAcentral.